AUUGAACGCUGGCGGCAGGCCUAACACAUGCAAGUCGAGCGGAUGAAGGGAGCUUGCUCCUGGAUUCAGCGGCGGACGGGUGAGUAAUGCCUAGGAAUCUGCCUGGUAGUGGGGGAUAACGUCCGGAAACGGGCGCUAAUACCGCAUACGUCCUGAGGGAGGAAGUGGGGGAUCUUCGGACCUCACGCUAUCAGAUGAGCCUAGGUCGGAUUAGCUAGUUGGUGGGGUAAAGGCCUACCAAGGCGACGAUCCGUAACUGGUCUGAGAGGAUGAUCAGUCACACUGGAACUGAGACACGGUCCAGACUCCUACGGGAGGCAGCAGUGGGGAAUAUUGGACAAUGGGCGAAAGCCUGAUCCAGCCAUGCCGCGUGUGUGAAGAAGGUCUUCGGAUUGUAAAGCACUUUAAGUUGGGAGGAAGGGCAGUAAGUUAAUACCUUGCUGUUUUGACGUUACCAACAGAAUAAGCACCGGCUAACUUCG
RNAcentral lists this ribosomal RNA (482 nucleotides) under uncultured bacterium. RNAcentral's name for it is "partial 16S ribosomal RNA". It matches the Rfam family "Bacterial small subunit ribosomal RNA", at positions 30 to 505 of the family's 1533-position model. The record is from RNAcentral.